GACGAACGCUGGCGGCGUGCCUAAUACAUGCAAGUAGAACGCUGAAGACUUUAGCUUGCUAAAGUUGGAAGAGUUGCGAACGGGUGAGUAACGCGUAGGUAACCUGCCUACUAGCGGGGGAUAACUAUUGGAAACGAUAGCUAAUACCGCAUAACAGCAUCUAACACAUGUUAGAUGCUUGAAAGGAGCAAUUGCUUCACUAGUAGAUGGACCUGCGUUGUAUUAGCUAGUUGGUGAGGUAACGGCUCACCAAGGCGACGAUACAUAGCCGACCUGAGAGGGUGAUCGGCCACACUGGGACUGAGACACGGCCCAGACUCCUACGGGAGGCAGCAGUAGGGAAUCUUCGGCAAUGGGGGCAACCCUGACCGAGCAACGCCGCGUGAGUGAAGAAGGUUUUCGGAUCGUAAAGCUCUGUUGUAAGAGAAGAACGUGUGUGAGAGUGGAAAGUUCACACAGUGACGGUAACUUACCAGAAAGGGACGGCUAACUACGUG
This 497-nucleotide ribosomal RNA is filed under the name uncultured bacterium. RNAcentral's name for it is "bacterial SSU rRNA". It matches the Rfam family "Bacterial small subunit ribosomal RNA", at positions 28 to 507 of the family's 1533-position model. The record is from RNAcentral.